RNAcentral lists this transfer RNA (64 nucleotides) under Eysarcoris rosaceus. RNAcentral describes it as "tRNA-Gly". The record is from RNAcentral. Lineage: Eukaryota; Metazoa; Arthropoda; Insecta; Hemiptera; Pentatomidae.
AUCUUUUUAGUAUAAUAAUUAUAUUUGACUUCCAAUCAAAAGAUCUUAAAUAUAAGAAAAGAUA